This 167-nucleotide small RNA is filed under the name Crocodylus porosus (Australian saltwater crocodile). Its description in RNAcentral is "TUC338 (ENSCPRG00005006788.1)". The record is from RNAcentral. Lineage: Eukaryota; Metazoa; Chordata; Crocodylia; Crocodylidae.
CUGACAACCCCAAGGGCUGAAUUCCUCUGAUUUUUUGUACAGAAUGAAUUAAACAUGCAUGUUUCCCGUCAUGACCCAGCCAGUGUACCUCAGUUCUGACCUGGAAGGUCCACCUCUAAGGAUGAAGGGAUCUACAAGUCCAUGUAGUCCUUGGCUUUUCUGCUACA